CAUUUGGGGAAAACAGUCUCAAUAAAAAGGCCAUAAAAUAGCUGAUCUGGAGGUUUCAGUUUAAAAUAGAACUGUUAUUAAAUGGUCCUGAUGCAUGGAUUGAAAGUGACAGGCCCCGGGACACGGAAAGUUUGAUGUUUGUCUCUCUUUGGUCGUCUUAUGUCUCCUUUUAGUCGUUUUGUUUUUCUUUGUGGUCGCUUUCCAUCACCUUUUGGUCAUGUUGUCGCUCUUUUUGAUCAUUUUCCGUCUCUUUGUGGUUGUUUUGCACCUCUUUUGGUCAUUUUGUUGUCAUUGUUGUCACGUAAAAAUAAGAGCGAGCAAAAAAUAUGAAGCUCAAUUAUUACAGCACCUUUUAAUGGGAACUUUACUUUGUAGGUCUUAACCGGAAGCAAUUUCUAACUCCGCAGUUUUACAACUUUACGUUUACGUCAUCAAAGUAUAACCACUGCUCACUUUAACCGGAGCAAAAUUGCAGUAUAUGUAGUCAGGUAUAUAUAACUUGACAGUGGCUGGAAUGAGCUUAAAUUACUGUUCGUUCUUUGUUUGGAUUUUUUGUUAAGAAAAGCUACUCUGACACCUUAACGUCUAAGUGACGUUUUACGAGAUUAACAAGCCGCAAGACCUGUUUUACAACUGUGAAUAAUGCGGAGUGUUCGUGUGCUGCCUUUGAACAUCUUGUAUUCAACAGCUUGAAUAAAUAACCCCCACAGAGUAAGGAGAACCAUCACCUUUUCUGCAGCAUACAGAUCCUCCAUGAAUAUUCCAGGGCUCCUUGUUUGUCGGGAAGGCUGUCUCGCUUUCAUCUAUUCAGCCUUCUGAUAGACAACCCUGACACCUGCUCCCUGGGGAGACCCUCCGCCAAGUCAGUGCACUGUUCCUUGAGAGACUUCCCUUACUUUAUCAGCCCAUAAAGGAUUGUCACAGGUGACUAUAUCAGCUGAGGUAUGGAGCUGCUCUCUCUGACCUGCCUCGGCACCGUGUGGUCGAGGCACCAUGCACUGCUUCACAAGCGGAUUAAGGUGGCUUAAAUGCUGUCAUACAAGCGGACUCAGUGCUUCACACUUUCUAAAAAUGUUAAGCCUUUGUUCUCUUCCAUUAAUUAGCAUUGUCUUAAGUUCAUUAGACCACUGCUCAUGUUGUUACUAAUGAGGCAACGUAGACCACCUACAUCAGCCGUAGCUUUGUAGAGCCUGACCUGACAGUGGCUCCUGUGCUUUCCCAUCUAUGGAGUAAUGACAUACAGACAGAGGGGAUGCAGAAACACAGAUACAGCCCAGAGUGAGGCUCACACUCAUUAAUGGUUACAUUUCAGAAAUUUAAUUAGCAUUAGAUAUUAAAACACAGGACUGCAUAGAUACAUUUAAGUGGACAAUGCUAAAUGUGUUGAUCUAUAAUGGAGACAAGUUUUUAAUCUCUUUUGUUAACAGCUGAAGUUAACUGUGCAGAUUAAGAUGUGUUUUAGUGGCUUCAGUAGUGUUGUAAAAGUUUGUUCUCUUCUUAUCUAAUGAUUAUUUCAGGGCAAUGCACUUCUGCUUAUCCCUUUUCCAAAACUAAAUGAGACUUACAGGGGCCUGUAUUCUAGAGUGGCAUCUAUAACUCAACAGAGGGAACACCUUAACAAAGGCAACUUAAAUGUACACUGACAGAUAUGGAUAUAAGAAGUGUCAAGCCCAGUGAUGUAGACUGGGCACCAUUCAUAAUUAUGAUAUCUGAUUUCAGCUCAAAAGGAAAAAAGUGGGGGGAGAGCACCAUUAUUUUAAUGGAGAAGAGACAGCCUUCUCCCUCAAGGAACAUCUACACUGACACUGGCUGCUGGAAAAUUGGGAUUUAUACUUUCUGUUUUCUAUUAAUAUGGAGAUGAAUACAGGUGCUGCUGUGUCGUAAAAUUAGUUUAGCUCUUGCAAAUUGCAAUUACACAUGUUGAGGAGAGAAGGGUGAUGUCUGUGCAUUUCACAGGCAAGAGAAAAUGUAAGAAAAUUAGGAAAAAUGUCUAGGUUUAAAAUGAACAUUAUAACAUGUAAUUCUGUCCUCUCCAGCCCCUCAGCCAGUCUGGCAGAUGUACCUAUUUGUUCUGCUUAAAAGAAUAGGACACUUUUCCUUGCUUCUCAUGCAAGGAAAAAGCGCAUCAAAUAUGCUAUAAAUGUUUCCCUCUUCAAGUGUGAAGACUUGGGAAGGGCUUCAAAACCCAGGGAAGUCAUCCAAAUUUCCCCGCUGUCAUCCUAAGGGGCUUGUGGAGGGCAUUUCUGAGCAGAGUGCACUGGUGAAUGUACCAGCAAGGUGAGGUGGGGCUGUACCAAAGAAAUACUUCAGCAUAACAGCAAUGAUUGGAUUAUAGCUGUGCACCCAGGCACAAGCCUCUCCAUGAAAGUGUAAGCCAAUACAGAGUAGGGAAGAUACAGUGCACAAACAGACUCUGAAUCAGUGUAUUUUUUUAAUCUUAAAUGGAAACAUCAGUCUCAUCGUCUAGCUAAUGUUACUCUCUGUAAUCUCUGUCUAGCAUCUUUAGUCAUACCAUGUUAGCAGUUAUUUAUGGUUUGUUAGGGUUGACACUAAAUAUACAUUUAUUUUACAUCCACUACAAGUUAGCUACAUUCAGCUAAGGUUAUCCAUCCGGAAUUAUCACAGUCAGUAAAGGGAGAUCUAAACAUUUUAAGCAACUUUAAGCGCCUCCCUCCCAACAUGGCGUGAUGCACCUUCACAUUAUCUAUACAAAGAUAAGCUAACUGGCUCCAGCUGUAGUUUCGUAUUUACUGUACAGGUAUGGGUGUGGUAUAGACUGUCAAAAAGUGUCUUCCUUUAAACAAUCCUCACGUUAUAGUAAAAAAAAAAAGGUGGUGGAAAAAUUUGUUACAAGAUUGCUACAAUAACAGAAAAUUGCUAAUAUUUGAUGGUCAAAAAUUGUAAAUAUGUCACUGACCCUUGCAGUUGAUGCAAAAGUAACUAUUCUUCAACAGAGUCCCGUGACUUAAUCAGUCAGCUACAGCGUUUACCUGGCAUUGGGCUAACUUUCUCUCCACAGCCAGUAGAGAGGCUCUGGUACUGAGGCAAGACAUUAAUUCACAGUGUCAACCUGUCCC
This is a long non-coding RNA of Monopterus albus (swamp eel), 3077 nucleotides long. RefSeq lists it as uncharacterized. The transcript has 4 exons. The record is from RefSeq and is a predicted model, not a curated record. Lineage: Eukaryota; Metazoa; Chordata; Actinopteri; Synbranchiformes; Synbranchidae.